GCCCUGUAUUGCUAGUUUGUUUCCAAGACAACAACAUUCACCCAUUUCAAGUAACUUCUACAACAAUACCAUUAAAUCAAUCACCCCAAAAUUAUGAAGGAUGGCGUGACAUUAUUUGUCAAUUUACAAGAUGAUGCAGCUUCCUGGAUCCUUUUUAACAUCUUCGUAAUUGCCCAAAGCUUGCUCAAAUUUAAGCCAAAAUGGACCAGUCUCCUGAAGAUUCACAUUCUUUGGCCCAGCAAGGUAAGCCUGAACAACAAACUGUGGAGUCCUUUCCCUCCCUUCAUAUUCCGAUAAAUAAGCCAGAUAGGCUGCGCCAAAGUACAUGGACACAAACGGCUUCGUCAUAUCAUCAACAGAGUCAACUUUAUAAGCUCUAUAUCCCAACUCCAUGUAAAGCCAGAAAGCUGCAGAGUAGUCGAUUCCCAUUAAUCCACUUCGUGG
This 444-nucleotide unclassified non-coding RNA is filed under the name Hevea brasiliensis (rubber tree). Lineage: Eukaryota; Viridiplantae; Streptophyta; Magnoliopsida; Malpighiales; Euphorbiaceae. The record is from RNAcentral.